AACGAACGCUGGCGGCAUGCCUAACACAUGCAAGUCGAACGAGACCUUCGGGUCUUGUGGCGCACGGGUGCGUAACGCGUGGGAACCUGCCCUUAGGUUCGGAAUAACUCCCCGAAAGGGGUGCUAAUACCGGAUAAUGUCUUCGGACCAAAGAUUUAUCGCCUUUGGAUGGGCCCGCGUUGGAUUAGCUAGUUGGUAGGGUAAAAGCCUACCAAGGUGACGAUCCAUAGCUGUUCUGAGAGGAUGAUCAGCCACACUGGGACUGAGACACGGCCCAGACUCCUACGGGAGGCAGCAGUGGGGAAUAUUGGACAAUGGGCGAAAGCCUGAUCCAGCAAUGCCGCGUGAGUGAUGAAGGCCUUAGGAUUGUAAAGCUCUUUUACCCGGGAUGAUAAUGACAGUACCGGGAGAAUAAGCUCCGGCUAGCUCCGUG
RNAcentral lists this ribosomal RNA (433 nucleotides) under uncultured bacterium. RNAcentral's name for it is "partial 16S ribosomal RNA". It matches the Rfam family "Bacterial small subunit ribosomal RNA", at positions 29 to 507 of the family's 1533-position model. The record is from RNAcentral.